GGUUUUUUUUAAUACUUUUUAUUUUGAAUUAAUUUCAAACUUACAGAAAAGUUUAGGUACCCCAGUACUAGAAUUCUUGUAUACCAUUUACCUAGACUCAUCAAUUGUUAGCUUUUGUCACGUUUGCUUUAUUGUUUUCUAUUUAUGUAAAUUUACAUAUUUUUUCCAAACCAUCUGAGAGUAAAUUUCAGAUAUCAUGCUCCUUUUCCCGUGAAUACUUCAGUAGUAUUUCCUAAGAAUGAGGAUAUUUCCUUAGAUGACACCAGUUAUCAAAAUGAGGAAAGUUAACAAAGAUACAUGAGCUCUAAUUCUUUUUUUUUUUUAAGGGAAGUAGAAAGUACUGGGGAAGGAGGGCAGUCCAGGAUUAAGUGCAUGCAUCACAGGGUCACCUCCCUUUCUCCUUCCUCUCUCUCUCUGCCCUUGUUCAGGAGUUUCCUCAAAAGCCGAGGCCCUGGUGGGGAAGGCAGUGUCCUGCUGAGUGUAUCUGUUUUCCCUCCAUGCCCCCACUGGCAGCAGCAACUUCUCCACACCCAUGUCCAUACCGCACCUUGCCCUUAGUCCUCUGUCAGGAAGCUGGAAGCCCUCUGAACAGGACGGCUUUGUUCUACAAUACAAGGUCCCGAAGGGAGGAGGAAACCCAGUCCGCCGGAAGUGGAAGUUGGAAGUAAAGCUGAGGCCUAGGAAGUGGGAAGAUGGCUCCUGGGACACGCAAUCAUGUAUCGGCAUUUCGUGCAUGCAUGAAGAGGGGAAGAAGACAAGCUGCGGGGCUAGAGUAAGAUUUGCACACCUUGGGUCCUGGGACCGUCCUGCUCAGCUGAGUGGAAUACCAAACGAGGGUGUCUUGGAGCUGCACUUCACUUCAGCCAGGCAGUCGACAGGAGAAGCAGCGAGCGAGACCGACAGACUGUCACUGGCAAAAUGAACUGUCACCUCCCAUUUUUCAGAGGCACGGGGGAUGAAUUGCAGCCUUGAACCGUGCGGCCCGCUGCUGAUUGAGUUCCGCUGUCUUAGAACCCCUUGGAACAAGGCGAGUUCAUUUCAGACUGACGUCCCACCGCUCAUCAAUUUAAGAGCCAGUAAAAUUAACCACUUCGGAGCUGACUUGCUCCCUCCCCCUGCUUGGAUUCCGCAUCCCGAAAGGUCACCAAAUAAAUCUCUCUGGGUCCUACUAGCAUAAUAUGCAGCUUGGAGACAGGGUCUCAGAAGAGGAGACCGAGCCAGAGAUAGCCCAGGCCUGAAAGGUUGCCAAGGCCCCCUCACAGCCGCCGGUCCAUGGCAGUGGUGUGACAAGACAGGCCUUUGCUAGCUCUGCUCCCACCCAAUCAGCUUCUGCUCCCAAGAGAUCUAGGGUUGGGUAGAGUUGGGUGGCUGAGAAUGGAGGUGCUACAGAAGACCCCCUAGUCUUGUGGCAGAGACCUCUGUGCACUGCUAGUCUCCCAUCUGCUGUGGACUGAAUGUUUGUGCCCCACACCCAUUCAUAUGUUGGAACCCUAAUCCCCAAUAUAAUGAUAUUCGGAAGUGGACAUUUGGGAGGUAAUCAGGGUUAAAUUAGGUCAUGGGGGUGGGGCCCCAAUGUUGGGAUAUAAUGCCUUUAUAAAAUGGAAGAGAAGCUGAAACCUUUUUUUCUUGGCCAUGUGAGGAGGAUACAGCAAGGAGACAGCAGCCAUCUGUAAACUAGGAAGAGGACUCUCACCAGGAACCUCACUAUGCUGGCACCCUGAUCUUGGACUUCCAGUCUCCAGAACCCAGAGCUGCCUCUCCUGAUAAAGGCUGAAAGUACCAGACUCUUGAUUUCCCAGGUUCACUUGAAGCUAAAGACAGCCACAUGAGCCAGUUCUGGCCAAUGAGAAGUAAGAGGAAGACCGUACUGGGAGAUGUCUGGGGACAUUUUUCUUCUAGUUAAAAGGAUGAGCAUGCAUGAGGCCCCUGCGCUUUUUUCCUUCAUGGCUGUGAACACAGUUGUAUGAAAACAUGAUUCUUCAACUAUGGCAACCAUGCAACAGCAAGUCUAAAGACCAAGAGCCAAUGCUGAGAGUAAAGAAAUAAAAGGAUGAAAGAAGUCUGCUCAGUUGUAGUACUUUUCAGCUGAUGAACCAAAGUAGGACCUCUAGACUUCUUUUGUGAGACAGUGAAAACUGCUCUUGAGGCUUUUUGUUAAGUAUUCUUGUUACCUGCCUCUGAAAGGAUUUUGAUACAUUGAAAAUGCAGAAUGAUACAGAAACUGGAAUUGAAAGAAACUCACUGAACUCCCUGGCUCAGGUGCUGGGAGUUAAAUCCUCCCACGACAAGGCCUACAGGGUUGCAUCCGAAGGGGAAGCUCCGGCUCCCGGCGAUGGCUCACUUGUCCUCUGACUUCUGGUUGGGUUCAGCCAAUGGUCAAUGCUCAAGAAACAGUGCCUCUACCUGAAGUUUUUAAAGAGGAAGGAGGACACGUUUAUAUCAUGCAGCAAGUCACUGGAGAAGACUGAAGAAUUCCUGACUUCCAAAUCAAAACCACACUGUGACAUGG
Molecule: non-coding RNA, 2509 nt
Organism: Delphinapterus leucas (beluga whale)
Lineage: Eukaryota; Metazoa; Chordata; Mammalia; Artiodactyla; Monodontidae
Source: RefSeq, a predicted model, not a curated record